RNAcentral lists this ribosomal RNA (274 nucleotides) under uncultured bacterium. RNAcentral's name for it is "partial 16S ribosomal RNA". It matches the Rfam family "Bacterial small subunit ribosomal RNA", at positions 523 to 796 of the family's 1533-position model. The record is from RNAcentral.
AUACAGAGGUUGCAAGCGUUAAUCGGAAUUACUGGGCGUAAAGCGUACGUAGGCGGUUUGGUAAGUCAGAUGUGAAAGCCCUGAGCUCAACUUGGGAACUGCAUUUGAAACUGCCUGACUAGAGUGUGAUAGAGGAUAGUGGAAUUUCCGGUGUAGCGGUGAAAUGCGUAGAGAUCGGAAGGAACACCAGUGGCGAAGGCGGCUAUCUGGAUCAACACUGACGCUGAGGUACGAAAGCGUGGGGAGCAAACAGGAUUAGAAACCCCGGUAGUCC